Non-coding RNA from Phascolarctos cinereus (koala), 1171 nucleotides. The record is from RefSeq and is a predicted model, not a curated record. Lineage: Eukaryota; Metazoa; Chordata; Mammalia; Diprotodontia; Phascolarctidae.
ACUUACCAUGUGUGAUGGAUCCUGGAACAUUUGUUCUAAAAUUGAUGUGGUCAACUCUGGUCUGGCACUGUCUUUCAAGGAGUCAUGGUGUUUUCUCUUCAACUGGCUGUAUCCAGAAGCACAGACCAUCUGUUUCAGAAACCUGAGGCUGUGCCCAUUUCAAGGCCAUGAGUCACCAAGGCAAGAACCAAGUCAUCGAGGGCACUGACUAAUUUGUUGUCACUGCUCCAAUAACAUCAAGGGCGAUGCCUUGACUUGGGAGUGAAUUUGUAAAGAGUAAAUAACCUCUGUGCGAGAGCCGCAGGGCCUCUCCUAGAAGUGACAUUUCAGUGUAUGGAUUUUGCUGGACCUAUUUGAGCUGCCUGAUGCCUCUGUUUGGCUUCCUUCCUGCUUCCUGGCCACGUUCCAGAUAGGUGAGGCUGUUGGAUCUGACCUCCAGAUUGAUGAGGUGCCAGCGUGUAUGACUAAUCUCCAACAUCUUGUUCUUUUUGUAGUGGCAAAAAGUUGGAAACCAAAGAGGGAUCCUCAUACCCAGGACUUCUCAUCUCUACCUCCUGGCAUCUCUGUCUUCCUUCAGAUCUCAACAAAUCCCUACUUAAGCGAGAAGCCAGUUUCCUCCUUAAUCUUAAUGCCUUCCCUCUGAGAUUAUCUCCAAUUUACCUGAUUCGAUCUUUUCAUUUACCACUUGGACUCUACUCGUACCACUGGCUCUGACCAUGAUGACUCUCUGGAUACAGUUUUUCACCUCUAUCUCUCCAGUUCCACGACCUGCAUCCUGGUUUCUGACUCCAGUAGAAUAUUGGAACUAGAGGCAUAAUUCUGGCCUCUAACCAUGUGAGAACUUCCUCCACCAUGGAACGCUCAUCUUCAGCCUCUGGCAACACUCACAAGAGGAUCAGUACAAAAAGAGGCCUGGAAGAAGUUAGUGGCAUUUGAAUUUGGUCUUGAAGAAUGGACAGACUUUAGCUGGCCAAUGUUCACAUUAACCAUAGGGUUCUGGUUAAUUUUCACACAUCAGAAAGGGAGAAAAGAUAAACUAUUUGGAAAAAUGUUCAACUACCAACAUGUUGGCUAGUUGCCUGCUAAGGACUUAUUACAAUCCUUAUCAAAAGAGAGAAAGAAAGAAAAAGAAAGAAGGAAGGAAGGGAGAAAGGAAGGAAGGAAAAGAAAG